RNAcentral lists this ribosomal RNA (1396 nucleotides) under bacterium. RNAcentral describes it as "bacterial SSU rRNA". It matches the Rfam family "Bacterial small subunit ribosomal RNA", at positions 61 to 1437 of the family's 1533-position model. The record is from RNAcentral.
GUCGAGCGAACAGAUGAGAAGCUUGCUUCUCUGAUGUUAGCGGCGGACGGGUGAGUAACACGUGGGUAACCUACCUAUAAGACUGGGAUAACUCCGGGAAACCGGGGCUAAUACCGGAUAAUAUUUUGAACCGCAUGGUUCAAUAGUGAAAGACGGUUUCGGCUGUCACUUAUAGAUGGACCCGCGCCGUAUUAGCUAGUUGGUAAGGUAACGGCUUACCAAGGCGACGAUACGUAGCCGACCUGAGAGGGUGAUCGGCCACACUGGAACUGAGACACGGUCCAGACUCCUACGGGAGGCAGCAGUAGGGAAUCUUCCGCAAUGGGCGAAAGCCUGACGGAGCAACGCCGCGUGAGUGAUGAAGGUCUUCGGAUCGUAAAACUCUGUUGUUAGGGAAGAACAAAUUUGUUAGUAACUGAACAAGUCUUGACGGUACCUAACCAGAAAGCCACGGCUAACUACGUGCCAGCAGCCGCGGUAAUACGUAGGUGGCAAGCGUUAUCCGGAAUUAUUGGGCGUAAAGCGCGCGUAGGCGGUUUCUUAAGUCUGAUGUGAAAGCCCACGGCUCAACCGUGGAGGGUCAUUGGAAACUGGGAAACUUGAGUGCAGAAGAGGAGAGUGGAAUUCCAUGUGUAGCGGUGAAAUGCGCAGAGAUAUGGAGGAACACCAGUGGCGAAGGCGGCUCUCUGGUCUGUAACUGACGCUGAUGUGCGAAAGCGUGGGGAUCAAACAGGAUUAGAUACCCUGGUAGUCCACGCCGUAAACGAUGAGUGCUAAGUGUUAGGGGGUUUCCGCCCCUUAGUGCUGCAGCUAACGCAUUAAGCACUCCGCCUGGGGAGUACGACCGCAAGGUUGAAACUCAAAGGAAUUGACGGGGACCCGCACAAGCGGUGGAGCAUGUGGUUUAAUUCGAAGCAACGCGAAGAACCUUACCAAAUCUUGACAUCCUUUGACCGCUCUAGAGAUAGAGUCUUCCCCUUCGGGGGACAAAGUGACAGGUGGUGCAUGGUUGUCGUCAGCUCGUGUCGUGAGAUGUUGGGUUAAGUCCCGCAACGAGCGCAACCCUUAAGCUUAGUUGCCAUCAUUAAGUUGGGCACUCUAGGUUGACUGCCGGUGACAAACCGGAGGAAGGUGGGGAUGACGUCAAAUCAUCAUGCCCCUUAUGAUUUGGGCUACACACGUGCUACAAUGGAUAAUACAAAGGGCAGCGAAUCCGCGAGGCCAAGCAAAUCCCAUAAAAUUAUUCUCAGUUCGGAUUGUAGUCUGCAACUCGACUACAUGAAGCUGGAAUCGCUAGUAAUCGUAGAUCAGCAUGCUACGGUGAAUACGUUCCCGGGUCUUGUACACACCGCCCGUCACACCACGAGAGUUUGUAACACCCGAAGCCGGUGGAGUA